GUCUAUGGCCAUACCACCCUGAAUGCGCCCGAUCUCAUCUGAUCUCGGAAGCUAAGCAGGGUCGGGCCUGGUUAGUACUUGGAUGGGACACAAUAGAUAGAAGUACAAAUUAGGCC
Dipodomys ordii (Ord's kangaroo rat) is the source of this 116-nucleotide non-coding RNA. Lineage: Eukaryota; Metazoa; Chordata; Mammalia; Rodentia; Heteromyidae. The record is from Rfam.